AGAAAACAUAUUUUUAGAGAAAAAAAUCGCAAUGUCAUCUUCCAAAUUUGCUAUCUUUUGUAUCAUCCUUGUUUCCAUGGCUAGCCUUCAUGAAUGUAAGUUAUAUAAAUGAUUUAUCGUUCAUUGUUUAUCAUCAUCACCACCUCUCUAUAAUCACAACUGAAUAUUCCAUAUAUAAUCUUUUCAAAUUUUUUUUUUUUUAUAUAGGUAAUUUCUUCAAAGACCUUACCAGUCCAUAUUUGAAAGAUCCAUGUUAUUACGCAAGAAUUAAACAAUAUUGCUGCGAAAGUACUGUUCCGGGUGAGGGGAUAAGCUGCUAUGACACGGAAACACAAUGUAGGAAUGAUUUUGCCAAUAAUCAUUGUAAUCCUUAUGCAAAGAAGAACUAAGAAACUUGACGAAUAGUUAUACGUACUAAAUAUUUUCAUACGUUUUACUCAUAAUAUACAAGUUGUAAAUAUGCAUCUGUAUUUACAAUAUACAACUAUGUAAUGCAAAAUGAUAAACCUUCUUUCUCUUCUUUUUUAUGUGGUAUGUAUUUUUCAGAUUAAUUA
This 554-nucleotide long non-coding RNA is filed under the name Arabidopsis thaliana (thale cress). Its description in RNAcentral is "long non-coding RNA (ATHA_LNC000695)". Lineage: Eukaryota; Viridiplantae; Streptophyta; Magnoliopsida; Brassicales; Brassicaceae. The record is from RNAcentral.